UAAGCGGAGGAAAAGAAACUAACUAGGAUUCCCUUAGUAACGGCGAGUGAACCGGGAUGAGCUCAAAUUUGAAAUCUGGCGUCUUUCAGGCGUCCGAGUUGUAAUCUAUAGAGGCGUUUUCCGCGCCGGACCGCGUCCAAGUCUCUUGGAAUAGAGUAUCAAAGAGGGUGACAAUCCCGUACUUGACGCGACAACCGGUGCUCUGUGAUACGUUCUCAAUGAGUCGAGUUGUUUGGGAAUGCAGCUCUAAAUGGGUGGUAAAUUCCAUCUAAGGCUAAAUAUUGGCGAGAGACCGAUAGCGAACAAGUACCGUGAGGGAAAGAUGAAAAGCACUUUGGAAAGAGAGUUAAACAGCACGUGAAAUUGUUAAAAGGGAAACGAUUGAAGUCAGUCGUGUGAGGGGUAUUCAGCCGUCUCUGGCGGUGUAUUUGCCUCUCACGGGUCAACAUCAGUUUGAUCCGGUAGAAAAAGGCGGGAGGAAGGUGGCACCCUCGGGUGUGUUAUAGCCUCCUGUCAUAUGUGCCGGACCAGACUGAGGAACGCAGCUUGCAGCAAUGCCGGGGUUCGCCCACGUACAAGCUUAGGAUGUUGACAUAAUGGCUUUAAACGAC
RNAcentral lists this ribosomal RNA (611 nucleotides) under Cryptococcus sp. KCTC 17064. RNAcentral's name for it is "eukaryotic LSU rRNA". It matches the Rfam family "Eukaryotic large subunit ribosomal RNA", at positions 47 to 648 of the family's 3401-position model. Lineage: Eukaryota; Fungi; Basidiomycota; Tremellomycetes; Tremellales; Cryptococcaceae. The record is from RNAcentral.